RNAcentral lists this ribosomal RNA (293 nucleotides) under uncultured bacterium. RNAcentral's name for it is "partial 16S ribosomal RNA". It matches the Rfam family "Archaeal small subunit ribosomal RNA", at positions 455 to 747 of the family's 1478-position model. The record is from RNAcentral.
GUGCCAGCAGCCGCGGUAAUACCGGCAGCCCGAGUGAUGGCCGAUAUUAUUGGGCCUAAAGCGUCCGUAGCUUGCCUAGCAAGUCUGUUGGGAAAUCCAGUGGCUCAACCACUGGCCGUCCGACGGAAACUGCACAGCUUGGGACCGGAAGGCUCGAAGGGUACGUUCGGGGUAGGAGUGAAAUCCCAUAAUCCCGCACGGACCACCGAUGGCGAAAGCACUUCGAGAAAACGGAUCCGACAGUGAGGGACGAAAGCCAGGGUCUCCAACCGGAUUAGAAACCCUUGUAGUCC